This 77-nucleotide transfer RNA is filed under the name Hyphomonas sp. RNAcentral's name for it is "tRNA-Arg". It matches the Rfam family "tRNA". From Rfam's summary of the family: Transfer RNA (tRNA) molecules are approximately 80 nucleotides in length. Their secondary structure includes four short double-helical elements and three loops (D, anti-codon, and T loops). Further hydrogen bonds mediate the characteristic L-shaped molecular structure. tRNAs have two regions of fundamental functional importance: the anti-codon, which is responsible for specific mRNA codon recognition, and the 3' end, to which the tRNAs corresponding amino acid is attached (by aminoacyl-tRNA synthetases). tRNAs cope with the degeneracy of the genetic code in two manners: having more than one tRNA (with a specific anti-codon) for a particular amino acid; and 'wobble' base-pairing, i.e. permitting non-standard base-pairing at the 3rd anti-codon position. The record is from RNAcentral. Lineage: Bacteria; Pseudomonadati; Pseudomonadota; Alphaproteobacteria; Hyphomonadales; Hyphomonadaceae.
GAUCCCGUAGCUCAGCAGGAUAGAGCGACAGAUUCCUAAUCUGUAGGUCGUGCGUUCGAAUCGCAUCGGGGUCACCA